CCUACGGGCGGCAGCAGUGAGGAAUAUUGGUCAAUGGGCGCGAGCCUGAACCAGCCAAGCCGCGUGAAGGACGAAGGUGCCAAGCAUUGUAAACUUCUUUUGUCAAGGGACAAAAUCAGGCUCGAGAGCCUGACCGAGGGUACUUGAAGAAAAAGCAUCGGCUAACCCCGUGCCAGCAGCCGCGGUAAUACGGGGGAUGCGAGCGUUAUCCGGUUUUAUUGGGUUUAAAGGGUGCGUGGGGGGGCUGUUAAGUCAGCGGGAAAAGCGCGGGGCCAAACCCCGGCGAGCCGUUGAAACUGGCUGUCUUGAGAAGGUGUGAGGUAUGCGGAAUGCGCAGUGUAGCGGUGAAAUGCUUAGAUAUUGCGCAGAACUCCGAUUGCGAAGGCAGCAUACC
RNAcentral lists this ribosomal RNA (394 nucleotides) under uncultured bacterium. RNAcentral describes it as "partial 16S ribosomal RNA". It matches the Rfam family "Bacterial small subunit ribosomal RNA", at positions 338 to 730 of the family's 1533-position model. The record is from RNAcentral.